CGAGGGUGCUGGUGGCUGGCAGCUGCUGCCCUUUGGUAGCUGGUCCCUCAACUCAGUGGUGAAUGGCGACCGGAUGGAGCGCUAGGGAAGCGACGGCAGCGGCGGGUACCAGGUCAAGAUGCCAUGGUGAACAAAACAAAGCCCUUUCCCACAUGGAGCUUUAAUUCCAAAGGAGGGAGGGAGAAAACAACCAACCUAUGGGCUGGAACAGCUGGUCGUGAGUGUCAGGACUAGAGAAGAAGACAGGAACCAGGAUGGGAAGACGGACAUGUUACAUUUUAAGCUGGAGCUUCCCCUGCAGUCCACGGAGCACGUUCUCGGUGUGCAGCUCAUCCUGACUUUCUC
RNAcentral lists this long non-coding RNA (345 nucleotides) under Pan troglodytes (chimpanzee). RNAcentral's name for it is "long non-coding RNA NONPTRT006393". Lineage: Eukaryota; Metazoa; Chordata; Mammalia; Primates; Hominidae. The record is from RNAcentral.